Molecule: long non-coding RNA, 297 nt
Organism: Metopolophium dirhodum (rose-grain aphid)
Lineage: Eukaryota; Metazoa; Arthropoda; Insecta; Hemiptera; Aphididae
Exons: 3
Source: RefSeq, a predicted model, not a curated record
AUACUUUAUUCAACUGCCUAGAAGUUGACAAUGGAAAAUUAUAGGUAGCAAAAUUGCAGAUAACAGAAUACAGACCAUUACAAAUGUAAUAAUUUCUAUAUAUUGUGAUUCCAAAGGUCCUAUAUAAAGUCUAAAAUGAUAUAUGUUGACAACAUAAGUAUUAAUAAUAGUCCUCUGCAUAAUCAAAUGCUGAGCAUGUCACUGUCAACAUUUAUAAUUUCAUCUGACUUCAAAACACCCAACACAAAAACUAUUUAUAUUAAAAAGAAGCUAUUUCCAUCUCAAUCACCAGCUAAA